RNAcentral lists this ribosomal RNA (120 nucleotides) under Udotea flabellum. Lineage: Eukaryota; Viridiplantae; Chlorophyta; Ulvophyceae; Bryopsidales; Halimedaceae. The record is from RNAcentral.
UUCAAUUCUUGUUGACUUAUUUUAACAAGCAUUGCCUUUUCGAAUUUGAAAGUGCAACAAUUUUGGGGUUUUUUCAACUACAAGGGCUGCUUUGUGGGAAAAAAAACCUGAUGCUAGAAG